UGGGGAAUUUUGGACAAUGGGGGAAACCCUGAUCCAGCCAUCCCGCGUGUGCGAUGAAGGCCUUCGGGUUGUAAAGCACUUUUGGCAGGAAAGAAACGUCGCGGGUUAAUACCCCGCGAAACUGACGGUACCUGCAGAAUAAGCACCGGCUAACUACGUGCCAGCAGCCGCGGUAAUACGUAGGGUGCAAGCGUUAAUCGGAAUUACUGGGCGUAAAGCGUGCGCAGGCGGUUCGGAAAGAAAGAUGUGAAAUCCCAGAGCUUAACUUUGGAACUGCAUUUUUAACUACCGGGCUAGAGUGUGUCAGAGGGAGGUGGAAUUCCGCGUGUAGCAGUGAAAUGCGUAGAUAUGCGGAGGAACACCGAUGGCGAAGGCAGCCUCCUGGGAUAACACUGACGCUCAUGCACGAAAGCGUGGGGAGCAAACAGGAUUAGAUACCCUGGUAGUCCACGCCCUAAACGAUGUCAACUAGCUGUUGGGGCCUUCGGGCCUUGGUAGCGCAGCUAACGCGUGAAGUUGACCGCCUGGGGGAGUACGGUCGCAAGAUUAAAAACUCAAAUGAAUUGACGGGGGUCAUAGCUGUUUUCCU
Molecule: ribosomal RNA, 589 nt
Filed under: uncultured bacterium
Lineage: Bacteria
Description: partial 16S ribosomal RNA
Rfam family: Bacterial small subunit ribosomal RNA
Source: RNAcentral